UAAAAUAAAAUAUGAACCUUUGUGGGACGACAAAGGUAUUUUAGUAUUUGCUCAAACCACUAAAGUCCAAUUUCUCCAACUCUGACUGGUCUGGUCUACAGGGAUCCACAGGGAUCCAAUCUCCCUAAAAGUUGCGCGAGAGUAUUUUAUUAAAGUUGCUUUUGUACUUGAUUGAUGUUGGCGUGAUGAUACUUAUCUCAGAUCUGCACGCAGUCUUCUUCUUCUGCUUCAUUCAACUCCUCUUUCUCAACAUUGAUUUGUUUCUCUACAAUGUUUUGCUCUAAUCCCAAUUGAUAAUUAAACCCGAUUCCCUUUUCACAAUCAUCUGUUAUCGAUAUGGAAUCGGAGCUGAAAGACCUCCACUGUCAAGCCGACACGUCGCACUCCUCUGGUACGACACCAGAGGACGCCUCCGCCAAGGACGACCAUCCGUUGCUCAAACCCGAAUCCAACCCCGCCUCUCAAAACAACAUCGAGGAGCUCCACAAGAAAUUNNNNN
This 499-nucleotide long non-coding RNA is filed under the name Carica papaya (papaya). RNAcentral's name for it is "long non-coding RNA (CPAP_LNC007916)". Lineage: Eukaryota; Viridiplantae; Streptophyta; Magnoliopsida; Brassicales; Caricaceae. The record is from RNAcentral.